This 921-nucleotide non-coding RNA is filed under the name Isthmohyla zeteki (Zetek's treefrog). Its description in RNAcentral is "partial 12S ribosomal RNA". It matches the Rfam family "Bacterial small subunit ribosomal RNA". Lineage: Eukaryota; Metazoa; Chordata; Amphibia; Anura; Hylidae. The record is from RNAcentral.
UGGUCCUAGCCUUAUAAUCAGCUUUUAUUUGAUUUAUACAUGCAAGUAUCCGCACCCCUGUGAGGACGCCCUUAGCUUUCUUCUAGAAGCAAGGAGCUGGUUUCAGGCACAAUUUUUAGCCCAAGACACCUAGCCAUGCCACAUCCACAAGGAAACUCAGCAGUAAUUAAUAUUGAAUAUGAGCGUCAGCUUGACUCAGUCAAAAUAAAAAGAGCCGGCAAAUAUGGUGCCAGCCGCCGCGGUUACACCAUGGGCUCAAGUUGAUUAUAUUCGGCGUAAAGCGUGAUUUAAAUUCUUUAUACACUAUAGUUAAAUUUUUAUUAAGCUGUAACACGCUUGUUAAUAAGAAACUCAAAAACGAAAGUUACUAUAAUACUGUCAACUUGAAUUCACGACAACUAGGGUACAAACUGGGAUUAGAUACCUCACUAUGCCUAGUCGUAAACUUUUAAUUACAUCCGUAUCGCCAGGGAACUACGAGCAAAGCUUAAAACCCAAAGGACUUGACGGUGCCCCAUACCCAUCUAGAGGAGCCUGUCCUGUAAUCGAUGACCCCCGUUAAACCUCACCAUUUCUAGCUUUUUCAGCCUGUAUACCUCCGUCGUCAGCUUACCUCGUGAGUGUGAUCCAGUAAGCGCAAUGUCAAAAACAAUACGUCAGGUCAAGGUGCAGCAAAUGAAGUGGGAAGAGAUGGGCUACACUCUCUAUUCUAGAGUAAACGAAAAACUAUUUAUGAAACUUAGUUGGAAGGUGGAUUUAGUAGUAAAAAGAGAUCAUAGAGCUCUUUUUAAUAAGGCGCUGGGGUGUGUACACACCGCCCGUCACCCUCUUCGAAGCAAAACUUACAGUACUUAACUAAAUUAGCACCAGAGAAGAGGCAAGUCGUAACAUGGUAAGCUUACCGGAAGGUGUGCUUGGAAA